GGGUGACUAGCUCAAUUGGCAGAGCAGACGGCUCUUAACCGUCAGGUUCUGGGUUCGAUCCCCAGGUCACCCA
Molecule: transfer RNA, 73 nt
Filed under: Microgenomates bacterium DG_75
Lineage: Bacteria; Candidatus Microgenomatota
Description: tRNA-Lys
Rfam family: tRNA
About the family: Transfer RNA (tRNA) molecules are approximately 80 nucleotides in length. Their secondary structure includes four short double-helical elements and three loops (D, anti-codon, and T loops).
Source: RNAcentral